CUACGGGUGGCAGCAGUGGGGAAUAUUGCACAAUGGAGGAAACUCUGAUGCAGCAACGCCGCGUGGAGGAUGACACUUUUCGGAGCGUAAACUCCUUUUAUAUAGGAAGAAGAUGACGGUACUAUAUGAACAAGCGCCGGCUAACUCCGUGCCAGCAGCCGCGGUAAUACGGAGGGCGCAAGCGUACUCGGAAUCACUGGGCGUAAAGAGCGUGUAGGCGGAUUAAAAAGUCAGAAGUGAAAUCCUAUAGCUUAACUAUAGAACUGCUUCUGAAACUCUUAAUCUAGAAUAUGGGAGAGGUAGAUGGAAUUUCUGGUGUAGGGGUAAAAUCCGUAGAGAUCAGAAGGAAUACCGAUUGCGAAGGCGAUCUACUAGAACAUUAUUGACGCUGAGACGCGAAAGCGUGGGGAGCAAACAGGAUUAGAUACCCUAGUAGUC
This 438-nucleotide ribosomal RNA is filed under the name uncultured bacterium. RNAcentral's name for it is "partial 16S ribosomal RNA". It matches the Rfam family "Bacterial small subunit ribosomal RNA", at positions 339 to 795 of the family's 1533-position model. The record is from RNAcentral.